Molecule: transfer RNA, 73 nt
Rfam family: tRNA
About the family: Transfer RNA (tRNA) molecules are approximately 80 nucleotides in length. Their secondary structure includes four short double-helical elements and three loops (D, anti-codon, and T loops). Further hydrogen bonds mediate the characteristic L-shaped molecular structure. tRNAs have two regions of fundamental functional importance: the anti-codon, which is responsible for specific mRNA codon recognition, and the 3' end, to which the tRNAs corresponding amino acid is attached (by aminoacyl-tRNA synthetases). tRNAs cope with the degeneracy of the genetic code in two manners: having more than one tRNA (with a specific anti-codon) for a particular amino acid; and 'wobble' base-pairing, i.e. permitting non-standard base-pairing at the 3rd anti-codon position.
Source: Rfam
GCGCCCUUAGCUCAGUUGGUAGAGCAACUGACUCUUAAUCAGUGGGUCCAGAGUUCGAGUCUCUGAGGGCGCA